Molecule: ribosomal RNA, 142 nt
Filed under: uncultured eukaryote
Lineage: Eukaryota
Description: partial 18S ribosomal RNA
Rfam family: Eukaryotic small subunit ribosomal RNA
Source: RNAcentral
UGGUGGGUUGCCUUGUCAGGUUGAUUCCGGUAACGAACGAGACCUCGGCCUGCUAACUAGUCGAGCUCGGGGUUCGCCCCGGUCUCCCGACUUCUUAGAGGGACUGCUGGCGUUCAGCCAGCGGAAGCACGAGGCGAUAACA